This 440-nucleotide ribosomal RNA is filed under the name uncultured bacterium. Its description in RNAcentral is "bacterial SSU rRNA". It matches the Rfam family "Bacterial small subunit ribosomal RNA", at positions 338 to 795 of the family's 1533-position model. The record is from RNAcentral.
CCUACGGGGGGCAGCAGUGGGGAAUAUUGGACAAUGGGCGCAAGCCUGAUCCAGCCAUGCCGCGUGAGUGAUGAAGGCCUUAGGGUUGUAAAGCUCUUUUAUCCGGGACGAUAAUGACGGUACCGGAGGAAUAAGCCCCGGCUAACUUCGUGCCAGCAGCCGCGGUAAUACGAAGGGGGCUAGCGUUGCUCGGAAUCACUGGGCGUAAAGGGCGCGUAGGCGGCGUUUUAAGUCGGGGGUGAAAGCCUGUGGCUCAACCACAGAAUGGCCUUCGAUACUGGGACGCUUGAGUAUGGUAGAGGUUGGUGGAACUGCGAGUGUAGAGGUGAAAUUCGUAGAUAUUCGCAAGAACACCGGUGGCGAAGGCGGCCAACUGGACCAUUACUGACGCUGAGGCGCGAAAGCGUGGGGAGCAAACAGGAUUAGAUACCCUAGUAGUC